ACCCUUGGGGCGUGCUAUACAUGCAAGUCGAGCGAAUCUGAGGGAGCUUGCUCCCAAAGAUUAGCGGCGGACGGGUGAGUAACACGUGGGCAACCUGCCUGUAAGACUGGGAUAACUUCGGGAAACCGGAGCUAAUACCGGAUAAUCCUUUUCUACUCAUGUAGAAAAGCUGAAAGAUGGCUUCGGCUAUCACUUACAGAUGGGCCCGCGGCGCAUUAGCUAGUUGGUGAGGUAACGGCUCACCAAGGCGACGAUGCGUAGCCGACCUGAGAGGGUGAUCGGCCACACUGGGACUGAGACACGGCCCAGACUCCUACGGGAGGCAGCAGUAGGGAAUCUUCCGCAAUGGACGAAAGUCUGACGGAGCAACGCCGCGUGAGUGAUGAAGGUUUUCGGAUCGUAAAACUCUGUUGUUAGGGAAGAACAAGUACCGUUCGAAUAGGGCGGUACCUUGACGGUACCUAACCAGAAAGCCACGGCUAACUACGUGCCAGCAGCCGCGGUAAUACGUAGGUGGCAAGCGUUGUCCGGAAUUAUUGGGCGUAAAGCGCGCGCAGGUGGUUUCUUAAGUCUGAUGUGAAAGCCCCCGGCUCAACCGGGGAGGGUCAUUGGAAACUGGGAGACUUGAGUGCAGAAGAGGAAAGUGGAAUUCCAAGUGUAGCGGUGAAAUGCGUAGAGAUUUGGAGGAACACCAGUGGCGAAGGCGACUUUCUGGUCUGUAACUGACACUGAGGCGCGAAAGCGUGGGGAGCGAACAGGAUUAGAUACCCUGGUAGUCCACGCCGUAAACGAUGAGUGCUAAGUGUUAGAGGGUUUCCGCCCUUUAGUGCUGCAGCAAACGCAUUAAGCACUCCGCCUGGGGAGUACGGCCGCAAGGCUGAAACUCAAAGGAAUUGACGGGGGCCCGCACAAGCGGUGGAGCAUGUGGUUUAAUUCGAAGCAACGCGAAGAACCUUACCAGGUCUUGACAUCCUCUGACAAUCCUAGAGAUAGGACGUUCCCCUUCGGGGGACAGAGUGACAGGUGGUGCAUGGUUGUCGUCAGCUCGUGUCGUGAGAUGUUGGGUUAAGUCCCGCAACGAGCGCAACCCUUGAUCUUAGUUGCCAGCAUUCAGUUGGGCACUCUAAGGUGACUGCCGGUGACAAACCGGAGGAAGGUGGGGAUGACGUCAAAUCAUCAUGCCCCUUAUGACCUGGGCUACACACGUGCUACAAUGGAUGGUACAAAGGGCUGCAAGACCGCGAGGUUUAGCCAAUCCCAUAAAACCAUUCUCAGUUCGGAUUGCAGGCUGCAACUCGCCUGCAUGAAGCCGGAAUCGCUAGUAAUCGCGGAUCAGCAUGCCGCGGUGAAUACGUUCCCGGGCCUUGUACACACCGCCCGUCACACCACGAGAGUUUGUAACACCCGAAGUCGGUGGGGUAACCGUAAGGAGCCAGCCGCCUAAGUGACAGAUU
Molecule: ribosomal RNA, 1454 nt
Filed under: Cytobacillus sp.
Lineage: Bacteria; Bacillati; Bacillota; Bacilli; Caryophanales; Bacillaceae
Description: bacterial SSU rRNA
Rfam family: Bacterial small subunit ribosomal RNA
Source: RNAcentral